CCAGUUCAUAGCCAUUUAAAUAAAUGCCCCCAACUCCUAUCUUAUUGCAUAUACUAUUUGACAACUGCAUAAUGCCACCAGAUUAAGAUGUUUGGGGUGAUGCAUUUAUUCUUGGUCCUCCACUGUGUUGCAAAGGAUCACCAUGACAAUAAUUGCCCAAUAAUCAGCAAAUACUCCCACAUUAUACUAUCCAGGUGGGGUUUUGACAGAUGUUGCAGGAUGUUUGCCCUGAGAAGUUUACUGAUCAUAAAUUCGCUGGCCCACUGCCAUAAAAUUCUAUAUAAAUAAAGGGUUUCUGCAAUCUCGUCCUUCAACCAUUCUUCAGCCUUGCUCUUCUCUUCUACAAUUCUGAGAUCCCAGCCAAUUGUGCACCAUGAAGACUGCUUUCGUGCUCUUCGCUUUGGCCUUCUUGGUUUUCCAGGCAAUGGCUAAGCCAAAUCCUGAUGUUUUAGCAGAAGAUGAUGCCCAAAUGCCAGCGGAAGAUGUUCCCCGCCCAAGAAAUCCCAUCGUAUGCAAUUCUAUGGGGGGGAGAUGCCGUCACAAGUGUGGUCUCUCUGAGAAGUAUGUUGGACGAUGCUUUGCAACUAUGUCCUGCUGUGUGCGUUUUCAGUAGAGAGCAUGCGCGAGAAAGAGGCAAGAAAGACCAACAGCGUAUGAUCGGAAGAGAGGAAGAAACCGAUCGAGAUGAAUUAAUGCUAAAUCAUUCCUUUUCAAUUAAAAUUGAGUUUGCAUCCAAUCAUUCUUACUCCAGGGACUCAAUUACUCCUAGUUAUCACUAGCGCUGAACUACCACUGCUGUUGUAACUACUACUACAAACUCUCCCUGUGCCCCGAGUUAUCCGAAAAAGUCUCAAUUUUCUUGAUUUCUUGAUUUGAUUUUAUUUAUUUUAUUUCUAUGCAACUGUUCAUCCACAUGAAUCUCAAAGCAGCUUUGAAAGAGCAAAUAACAAUAACAGAACAGAACAUCACAAAUCAUAUAGAAUGAUGAACAAAUCAGUAAAACACUAUUAACAAAACAACAACAACAAAAAGCAAAGCAGCAUAAUCACAACAGAAGUCAUAUUAUGGGAUUCACGAAGUACUACAGCAUUCACAAUCUAUAAAACAAUCUUAACAGCAUUAACAAAAUAGCAAACAAAAAAAUAAACUAAGCCCUGUUGAAUUCAUACACAAACUCUUCUCAAAUCUCAUGAUUUCAGCUCAUUAAAAUACACAUCGACAUCUUGCCCAUGGCAGGAACUCCUUUCUGAAGGUUUAUUGGGUUGGAUGUGGGGCAGCACAGGGGCCUCUCCUCCCUCCCAGUUCUUUCUCUGGAAACAGUUCCCUUAUGAAGGCUCCUAGGAGUGGGUGCUGUUGACAGUUCCUGGCUAUCUGCCCAGGAAAGCAGAAAUGCAGAGAGAAAGAGCUUUUUAGACACAGGGAAAACAAUCUUACGAUCAAGCCAACAUUGCUUGGAAUAACGCACCACCGGCUCCCUGGCUGUUACUUCCUAGCAAUUAGACCCCUCCUGCUGCUUACGGUGGCUGCUAAGGGCAAACCGUCUUUGGGCUCCUUGUUUUGCGACAUGCAGAGCAUUCCUAGUUCUUAGGGAAGGACGGGGGCUCUGGCAAACUCUCCAGAGACGGCGAGUCACUUGGCUGCUGCACAGAUCGGACUCCUACCUCUGUGCACUGCUCCUGUCCUUCAUCACCCAUUAUUUCCCAACUCCUUCCUCUCUCCUGUCUCAAACCACCAGUCCAAAACAUUACUGUCUCCCCCUUUGCCCUCACUGUAAUGCUUCUGCGGUCUCCGCCUCUUCUCACCAGCAGUCCAGUCCCUGACAGGUGGAGGAUGAGGCAAGGCAGGUGGAAACAGAUAUUGCCUGACAAACAGCACCAAGUCCCCCCCCUCACAGUACUUGCUCUUGUUAUUAUCCCAAGGAAAAGGGGCACCCCAAAUUCUCUUCUAGGG
Podarcis muralis (Common wall lizard) is the source of this 1950-nucleotide long non-coding RNA. Ensembl lists it as uncharacterized. The record is from Ensembl. NCBI's taxonomy places the organism in Eukaryota, Metazoa, Chordata, Lepidosauria, Squamata, Lacertidae.